CCCACCUGUCCAACCCUAAUCUUCUUCGACGAAGACGGCGAUCGUGUCUGGCUCUUCCAUUCCCUGCAAUCUCUGUUUCUUCUCUGUAUUUAUCACAAAGUCUGGAUCAUUAACUUCUGUUCUUCAAUCCUUUCUUAGUGGUUUUGUUCCACCUCCCCCAUUGUUGCUUCUCCUAUUUAAAUCCUUCCCUCAAAUGUUACGUCAAACCAAAAUCUACCUCCUUGAGAGAAGAUCAGGCUAUGGCAAUGAAACCUGCGAAAUCCACCGGAAAGUCACCCCACCCUCGAAUUUAAUGACCUCUCACCAGGUCAGCCGAAUCGGAACUCCGAUUAAUCGAAUUUCUGGGAGUUGAGAAACACAGAAAAAUGUUGGAUUCUUAUUGGCUUGGAACUGCUCCUCAUCUUUGAACAAAAAAAGGUAUAGCCAUUAUUCUUAAUUUUGUGAUUACACUCACUGUCAAGAUGCUCGAUAUAUUAUAUCAGCUACUACUGUAUAGAGUUAGUUAAGUCAAAUCGGUAAAUCUGUUACACAUGUAUGUCAUAUCAGGCCAAUAGACCAUAAGCAAGAAGUACCACAUGAUGGUGCUAUGUGUGACCUCCUAUGGUCGGAUCCUAAAGAUACUGUUGAUGAUUAGGGGUUGAGAUCAAUGUGUGCUAGAUUCUUUUUUGGCAGCUGUGUUUUCAUGUCUUUUAACCACACACAACAACAUAGAUCAAGCCCACAACAUAGACUACACCAGAACAAGUUAAUAUCAGAUUUUACUGUGCCUUUCUUUGAAGCAUCCUAUUUAGUCGCUGCGCACUUCUUACUUUUCUUGUGGAUAUCUGUCUAGAUUUUUUUUUUUAAACUCUGUACCGCAAGAAAAAAAUGUUAUUGUUACAACUUACAACCCAUGGAAGCAUGAGACCGUUCAUAUGAAGAGAAGAUUGUUUGACAAAGGAUUGGUUGUAAAUUCUGAUGGAGAAUAAGUAAAUGGUGUUUCCUCUGCCGCAGUUGGUCUUCAUUGUAUUGGACCUGUUGAUAAAUCACACAACCUUUUUGACCCAGAGUACGGUGAUGGCGGCUGUCACUUCCUUACUCAGUGAUGGAAUACACAUUGGGGUUUUAGUCCGAGGGAAGAAGGCUAGAGAUGAGAACAAGUCAACAACUCUCUAUCACAGAGUGGUCGUUCGUGUAGAGAAAAUCCAGGCAACCUAGGCUUCACCUUGGAGCUUGGUCCCGGAAAACUGGAUGGAUUCAAGCGCAAGGCUAUGAAGGGGGUCAGGCUCAACAUAAUCAAGUUAGAAUUAUAAGGAACUUUUCAACUCAUUGGGAACCUCCUCCUCAACGUUGGUACAAACUCAAUUUUGAUAGCAGUUUUCGGGUAUCCUCUCAUUGUGUUGGUAUAGGCUGGAUCCUUCGGGACUAUGAAGGUAAAUAUAUUGCAGUAGGUACAUCGCAGGUUCAUAAUGUUCAUUCUGCUUUCCAAGCAGAAGCAGCGGCUUUCCUUCUUUCCCUUCAGUUUGUAUGGAGUAGUGGUUGGAGACAGGUUUGGUUUGAGAAUGAUUGUAAAGGUUUGGUCGACAUAAUUAAUCAGGGACUUGACAGUGUGGAACUGGGGAAUUUACUAUCGAAAAUUAGGCAUUGGAUGAGCAAACUUCCACUGUGUUCUAUUGAUUCCAUUCAUCGUGAGAAGAAUCAAGCCGCAGAUGCCUUGGCUAAGAAGUCUUAUGAUUAUCAUGAUUAUUCUAGAUUUAAUGUACCUCCUG
Long non-coding RNA from Brassica oleracea var. oleracea, 1748 nucleotides. RefSeq lists it as uncharacterized. The transcript is spliced from 4 exons. The record is from RefSeq and is a predicted model, not a curated record. NCBI's taxonomy places the organism in Eukaryota, Viridiplantae, Streptophyta, Magnoliopsida, Brassicales, Brassicaceae.